This is a long non-coding RNA of Colossoma macropomum (tambaqui), 333 nucleotides long. RefSeq lists it as uncharacterized. NCBI's taxonomy places the organism in Eukaryota, Metazoa, Chordata, Actinopteri, Characiformes, Serrasalmidae. The transcript is spliced from 3 exons. The record is from RefSeq and is a predicted model, not a curated record.
ACCGGGAGAAACCCCACCGUGUUCCUCGCGCGCACUCUUGGCUGUAUUUUGUUUUUGUUUUUUUUUGCUAUUUUUGGCUGAUGAUGAGACCUAAACCCGUUCACUCCGUCCAAACUGAGUCUGCAGGCUCAGGUGUGCGUCAGGUACUAAUCACCUGUGCGUCUAAGAUCUGGAGGACCCUCGUUACCCUCUUCAGCUGCACCACUGGAGGCUGUGUUGGACUCUCAGUGGAGGAGACCGAGCCAGCAGAGCCCCAAAGCUCAGUGCAGCCCUUCAUCUGUUCAUACAGCAGAUAAAGCAGGCACUCCAAGACUGCAACUGUGUAAAAAUGUG